Long non-coding RNA from Cygnus olor (mute swan), 5051 nucleotides. RefSeq lists it as uncharacterized. The transcript is spliced from 3 exons. NCBI's taxonomy places the organism in Eukaryota, Metazoa, Chordata, Aves, Anseriformes, Anatidae. The record is from RefSeq and is a predicted model, not a curated record.
ACUAGAAGAUGACUGUGAUACUCUGGUGAACGGGAGAUUUUUUGUGGUCUUUUAUGGUUCACCUCCACCAGGGUAGGAAUUAGGUGCUGGAGUAUAAGGAGCAAAGUAUUUCUGGCUGAUCUUACAGCUUCAGUAGCUGGAGGCAAGUGGUGGCUUUCAGAAGUUGCUGACAUCAGCCUGUCUCUGUGACAUCAAGUCAUGGUGACGCGAUGUCUCUGUGACCCGGGAUGUGGAGUCAGAGGUACCUCCUGGCCAGCUCCUCCCUGUACCAGAGCUCAGCAGGGAGGCUGGGCUGGCAGCUGGUGACCAUGGGACUCCUCUGGAGGUCUCUUCCCACUCUCAUCUCCGUCACCCUGGGGUUUCCCUGCUCCCGUGGCCCCAGCACAGUGGGGAGAUGGGAUUUCACGGAUGGCUGGGAAGUGUGCAGAUGGAGAUGCCCUGGGGAUUAAGAAGGUUGCCAACACGAGGAGAUCAAACCAUUGUGUGGGGUACAGCAGUGAUAAAUCCUGCCCGUGGGCUGCGGAAGAGGGUGGAAACUAAUAUAAUCACAGAACAGACACCCUCCUCCCCCAGCACAUGCACCCUGAUGUCUGACUUUAUCUGCUGCAUCACGUUGUGGUUACCAGUCUGAUGGAGAAAGACUACCAAGGGAGGCAGUGAUGCGUACCUCUGGAGAACACGGUGAGGCUCAGUAUCACCAGCAAAACGAGCACCUUAAUUCCCAGUGGUACGAAAAUGAGGAUCAUGAAGAAGGAGCUGUUGGACGCUCUGAACUUAUAGAAGUAGACUGCCCCCUCUGCUCUCCCGUGGCUGUUGACUGCCGUGCACGUGUACUUGCCGUCGUGCGUCAGGUACUGGAGCUCCUUGGUGACGCGGUGGCUCGUGCUCGUGACCGAGCUCCUGAAGUUGUCACAUACCUGAAAUGCGAUCAAGACCUGGACUGUUUGGUCAUUUCCCCUUGCUCACUGUCAGACUUCAGCUGAAUUUCUCCUCCUGGUGUUACCUGCAGCUUUAUAUUGGCAGAGGUGCUCUGAGUGCUCCUCAGCUUGCUCACCUGCUAGUGCCAGCCAGAGGUUCUCCAGGCUCUGUGGGCAUCUAGCUGUCAUGUUUGCUCCUAAAUACAGCCAAACACAAGCGUGUGAAAGUCAUCACUUUCAAGAUUUUGUUGAAAGGACAAAGAUGACCACUGUAUCAUCUAACCUGACCUGGUAUGUAACUUCUAAUAUACCACGCGUUGUUUUCAUCCAUUCUCUCCUCAGCUGAAUUCCAAAUACCAGCAUUUGAGCUAGACAUCAGGUUACCAUGUGUGGAGUAAGGGAAGGAGAGAGGGAAGGCACGGUGCCCCCAGCCCCUGCCCAGUCAUGUUGGGAAAACUUCAUAGGAGAGGUGAGCUGCGGACGUGGAGCCAAGCUGCUGAGGUAACAAAUGAGGCAAGGCUGGGCGAUCGCUGUGAUGAACUGCAUCCGGAAACAAUGUUCUUUGACAGCCUUGACCUGAUUGUCCUGGGAUUUUCUACAUUGCAGAUGUGAGUCAUGGGCAAAGGAACAUGUAUUUUCAGGGCAUCGCAGACCCUUCUGCCUUUAAGGGGACCACGACAAGCAGGUCGCAGUGUGUGACUGUAGGACUACUGAAAGAGGUGGCCUUCACUUCUCAGCAGAUCCUUCCAUGGCAAGAUCAGCUCCUUUCUGGCUGGGACAGGAGUUAGGUGAAACGAAGGUAGCAUCCUUGCUUGCCCUGAUGGAGUGACCUGCAUCAGAAGAAGCAGCAGCAAUCACUUUUGCUGCCUCUGGCAAAGGUUUCCCAGAAAGCAAGCUGAUGAUGGGGUUGUUUUGCUGUUUUAUUUGGGGUUGUUCUUCUAAAGUUCAGUUUGCUGAGAGGUUCUGAUAUCUUAAUUGAUGCAGGCAACAGGGCUAAAAAGGACAUAGUGUUAGAACAUUACUGCCUGCAUGUUUAUUCUUUAACCUCACCUCAGGAAACAUCUGGUAGCAAAUGAACAUGUAGUGGCAAUAAAUGGCAAACUGCUUUCAGCACUUCUCCAGCGUGUGUCCUGUCUUCAGGUCGUGCCACUUACUCGUGUCUGUGCUGGGAGGCGUCCACAGCUUGUGGUUUCCCUUCCCGUGGUGGUGGGGCUGGGAUCCGCCAGCUUGGAAGGUCCCAGCGGUGAGGUGCCAGGAAGAGGUGUGUGAGCAGUAGCACAUAAAAGCAGUUAUUUUUGCUUCCUCUGAUCUCUGAUAACAGGGAAGUGUUCCCAAACAGUCAGGGCUAACACUUUUAGUACAAUGUAACCUUUACUUAAUUGCUCUAUUGCCAUAACCUUGCAUGGCCCUUUAGAUACCAAGUGUGAUAAGGCUGCUGCCCAGGGGAGCUCACGCUCAUUUAGGCUUGAUGGAUUGUGACAUUGACUCCUGGGAUUACGAUUGGAGGCUGAUAACGUGGAGGAGAAGUGUUUUGGGCAGUGCAUUGUUCUUAUCAGUUCUCACCACACGUGGGGGUGAAGAAAACAAUAGAUCAAUUUGCAUCACUUCAUACGCCCUGCUCACAGCAUCUGUGUGAUCACAGUGGCUGUGUCCCUGGUGGGACCUUGCUGACAGCUUUGUGUUCCUGCCAAGGAAAGGCUGGAAACCGAGGCUGUACCACAGGAGGGAAGCUGCUCAACGCAGAGGAGGUGAAAAGUGGGAUGCUGAGGAAAUGCAGUUGGAAAGUGAGUUGAAAAGGAGAUGCAACUUGGGGCUGGGCGAAGAGGGUGCUGUGGUGUCAGAGAACAGCCCCCUUCGUGUUGUUUGAGUCUAGGGCAUGGUCCCUCUUGGAAAGAGAUUGCCUUAAAGCACAAUAGGAUGAAGCCACGGCAUGAGAGAUGAAAUUUGGUCAUGCUCCAAAGUAAAUGAAAUACUGGUGUUUUAAAGUUGGAAAUUGGAUAAAGCAGGUGGGGAGGAGAAUAUGCUGGUUGGGAUUGGACGUGAUGAAUAGAACGAGGAGUUACGGCACUUCUUGGCAUGCGGGGCAGGCAGGUUUCACACAGAUCCCUGUUCCGCAUGUGACAUCCCCACAGACCUUCCCUAAGUCAAGCAGAGAGGCUCUGCAGUCCCCAAAGGCUGGAGGUAAACUCUUCCUGGGGUUUCCGCAGUGCAUUGCGAUGGGUACGAGCUCAUCUGUGCUUGUUUGAAGAUUACUGUACACCUUCGUAGCACGUCUUUAAGUACCUAAGGAGUGAAAAAUGCAUAGCCCUGGAUAUCCUAUAUUGUAGUUUUCUUCAGUGAGAUGGGAAGGGGGGAUUCUCUUGCUCUUAGGAAGCUAGGUGACUAACGCUGUCCACAGCCAGGCUCUGAAGGGGUAGGCUGGAGGUGACUGUCAUAGAGGGGGGCUUUGAUCUAGCCCACGUUGGUGAACAGAGCCACCAGAAGGCAUUACUUACCCUGUAACUGGUAAUCACACUGUGGGAAGAUCAGGCUGUGAUUUAGUAAGAGGGGAAAGAACAGUCACAUGCCUUCUCUGAGGUGCAAUCACUCACCUGCCUCUUGGGCUUGAUUAUUUUGAAUAAUCAGGCCUCUGGCCCUCUUUCUGUUUGAGUGUGUAAGUCAUUCGCAGUUAUCCUUUGAAUGCUUUUGGAUGGCUUCCCAGAAGAAUUUACAUCCUGGAUGGUUUGUGAUUUGUGUGAAAGCAGCUGUCUUCCCCAGCAUCGGUGUGUAGCUGCAUCUCCCGUGAUCAGCAGAAAUUAGUCUCAGAGCGUUUGAGGAGCCCAUGAACGAUGCCACGUGCCUGAAGUCGGAGGCGUUUGGGUGCAUUUCAUUCGGUGCUCGCUCGCAGCUGCAGGUAAAAGCACAGGCUUCCCUGAGUCUUACAAAUAGCCGUCAUUCUGUGAAAGGACAAUGGAACAAAUGAGCUCGCAGGACCUGCCAGUGUGAUUAUCGGUUGCACAGCAAAUGGGCCCGCUCUUACCUCCGCGGCUCAAUUACGUAAAUGCACGACAUAGCAGUUAGCGGCCCCCUCCGGGAGGAUUGUUGUAACAACAAUGUGCCUCUGCGCAUUUCUUGUCACAUUCCUCUGCCGAUAGUGUAGGCUUCAAGUCCCCUGGCUCGCCAUGUGCUUCCAGCUGGAAGGACGGCACUGGUUUUGCGUGGUUAGCCUGUGUGAGUCUUGGGAAUCCCUGCUUGUUCGCAGAAUUGCCACCCCGGGAGGCAGGAAAGCAUUAGAGCUGCUGCUUCCAGCUACACUGGACAGAAGCUGCUGGGUGGUUUGACUUGCUGUGAAGGAUCUUUCCACGAGAUCCCAGCAGAGUUUAGGCUGGAGCUGUGAAGAUUGCAGCCCCCUUGUGUAAUUCCCUCCUUAGCACCUGCUGCUCCUGAGCCUUGCUUGCACUUGACAGAGGUUUGCAGGUCAGAGACCGCUUCAGCUUCCAGGAGGAAUCAGUCAGGGGAAAAGGCUUUUUCAUCUGGAAUUUUCAUGCAGACAAAAUAUAAUCAAAACAAUUUAUAUAUUUAAAAAGAAGCUUACCAUAUUCAGUGGAGAAAGUCUGGAUGAGUCGAGAUGAAAUAUGAGUCCAACUCAUAUUUCUCAAGCACAUCAGUGUAACUUAUUUCCAUGCCUGCUGCCCCCCUCCACUUCAGCACAUGUGCAGAUACCUCAGGGAUAAAAACAGUUCUGCUUUUCUGCUCUGUUCUUGCUAUUCUGCUCUUAAUCCCUGGCACGACUUUGUUCACAACAUCUAUCAUUUGGUAUGUUAGUGGGCAUAUGACCUUUUAAAACAACCAAGUUCUUCUCUGUGUUUUAUCAGCAUCAGCUUUCAGCUUUGGCUAAAUUAAAAAAAAAAAAAAAAAAAAAAGUAACAUGGCAAAUCCAUCCCAAAGCUGUAUCACUCAUGUUUGGCUAAAUGUAGUUUCAGAUCCCCUUACAUACCUCUGCUUGCUGUGUGGAUCCUCUUUCCUGAAUACAUUUUUGUCCUUUCCGGUCAAAGUAAUGUAAUCAAACUGUGUCUUCCAUAUCACGUGAAUGAAGAGUGAUCAAGUGAUAUGUAAUCUGUCUGCGUAUUGCCUUCACCAAAUGCCUCUGUAAUA